UACGGAGGGGGGCUAGCGUUGUUCGGAAUUACUGGGCGUAAAGCGCACGUAGGCGGCUUUGCAAGUCAGAGGUGAAAGCCCGGGGCUCAACCCCGGAAUUGCCUUUGAGACUGCAUCGCUAGAAUUGUGGAGAGGUAAGUGGAAUUCCGAGUGUAGAGGUGAAAUUCGUAGAUAUUCGGAAGAACACCAGUGGCGAAGGCGACUUACUGGACACAUAUUGACGCUGAGGUGCGAAAGCGUGGGGAGCAAACAGG
This 254-nucleotide ribosomal RNA is filed under the name uncultured bacterium. RNAcentral's name for it is "partial 16S ribosomal RNA". It matches the Rfam family "Bacterial small subunit ribosomal RNA", at positions 524 to 776 of the family's 1533-position model. The record is from RNAcentral.